Molecule: ribosomal RNA, 428 nt
Filed under: uncultured bacterium
Lineage: Bacteria
Description: bacterial SSU rRNA
Rfam family: Bacterial small subunit ribosomal RNA
Source: RNAcentral
UGGGGAAUUUUGGACAAUGGGCGCAAGCCUGAUCCAGCCAUGCCGCGUGCGGGAAGAAGGCCUUCGGGUUGUAAACCGCUUUUGUCAGGGAAGAAACGGCCUUAAAUAAUACUUUAGGCUAAUGACGGUACCUGAAGAAUAAGCACCGGCUAACUACGUGCCAGCAGCCGCGGUAAUACGUAGGGUGCAAGCGUUAAUCGGAAUUACUGGGCGUAAAGCGUGCGCAGGUGGCUAUACAAGACAGAUGUGAAAUACCCGAGCUCAACUUGGGAACUGCAUUUGUGACUGUAUCGCUAGAGUAAGGUAGAGGGGGAUGGAAUUCCGCGUGUAGCAGUGAAAUGCGUAGAUAUGCGGAGGAACACCGAUGGCGAAGGCAAUUCCCUGGACCUAUACUGACACUCAUGCACGAAAGCGUGGGGAGCAAACAG